Molecule: long non-coding RNA, 695 nt
Organism: Melanaphis sacchari
Lineage: Eukaryota; Metazoa; Arthropoda; Insecta; Hemiptera; Aphididae
Exons: 3
Source: RefSeq, a predicted model, not a curated record
CAAAAUAUGUACGAAUGCACAGUGCAAUACUAAAAUACACUAAAUUCUACAAAUUUAUGUUUUAAUUUUAAAAUGUUCAUAUAAAUCUAUACAGUUUGAAAAAUCAUAUAUAUUAGACAUACCGAUAACGAAGAUAUAUUUCGAUCGAAAAAAUAAAACAGUCUUACGAGCUCCGUGAUCCAGACGCAAAUGAAAUGAGACGUGUGACGACCGGAUAUGGCAGAGUUAUAAACGGAAAUUUAAGCAACAGAGGUGACUAUUAAUUAUGUUAAAUCUAGUCAAUGACCAUAAAUAUAAACCGUUGUUGUUACGCCACUAGACAGUGCGCACGGCUUAUGAUGUACACGUGCAGUGCGCGAAAACGAACUGCGGCCGCAGACAAUAUUAUUGUUGCGUUUAACGCCGUCGCAGCCCGUUUUAAAUAAGACGGUUACUGGUUGCGAUGCAGCAGGUCGCCGCCCAACGGAGAGUCGCUGCGUUUGCUCUUCACUGAUAUCACAAAAUUUAAAAAAAUAAUGUUUGAACAGGAGCCCAUUAACAAUGAAUGGAUCGAAGUUCAAAUUAUGAGCCAAAUUGAAACAAGAUAUGAUAUAUUUAAAAUUUAAAAUUAAUUUUUAUUAUACGUAUAUAGUUAUGAUAUACCUACGUCCUAUGUACUCCUACACAUAUUAAAAGCAUGAAUGUAUAUAUUAACA